Molecule: ribosomal RNA, 446 nt
Filed under: uncultured bacterium
Lineage: Bacteria
Description: partial 16S ribosomal RNA
Rfam family: Bacterial small subunit ribosomal RNA
Source: RNAcentral
CCUACGGGAGGCAGCAGUCGAGAAUCAUUCACAAUGGGGGAAACCCUGAUGGUGCGACGCCGCGUGGGGGAAUGAAGGUCUUCGGAUUGUAAACCCCUGUCAUGUGGGAGCAAAUUAAAAAGAUAGUACCACAAGAGGAAGAGACGGCUAACUCUGUGCCAGCAGCCGCGGUAAUACAGAGGUCUCAAGCGUUGUUCGGAAUCACUGGGCGUAAAGCGUGCGUAGGCUGUUUCGUAAGUCGUGUGUGAAAGGCGCGGGCUCAACCCGCGGACGGCACAUGAUACUGCGAGACUAGAGUAAUGGAGGGGGAACCGGAAGUCUGGGUGUAGCAGUGAAAUGCGGAGAUAUGGAGAGGAACAAUCGUGGAGAAGGCGGGUUCCUGGACAUUAACUGACGCUGAGGCACGAAGGCCAGGGGAGCGAAAGGGAUUAGAUACCCUGGUAGUC